This 889-nucleotide long non-coding RNA is filed under the name Sinocyclocheilus grahami. RNAcentral describes it as "lncRNA (ENSSGRG00000054986.1)". The record is from RNAcentral. Lineage: Eukaryota; Metazoa; Chordata; Actinopteri; Cypriniformes; Cyprinidae.
AAGGAGGCGUGGAUUAUGGGAUUCUGAUCCCAUAGUGGAUCCAGUAGGUACUUAAUGCGUGUUCCAGUUCAAAAAUAUUCAUUUUGUUUUCCAGGUAAAUCUUGCCAGAUCUUUCCGGACUGCAGACCCAGGUAAAGUAAUUGCUUGACAUUUCAUGCUAAUUUAAUUAUCUGCACUUUAGCUCGUUGGCAGCAGUGUAAAUGCAUAUGGAUGUGGGUUGAUUGUUUAGAGAACAGGACGUUCUUGUCUGAGGGUCGCCGUUAAAUACCUCCGGCAUUUUCAGAUGCGCGCGCUGCUUUCAGUCAUUUCUUCCUACAGCUUUAAUCGCGUAACAUCUUGAUAUAGACAGACAGGAGCGCACGGAUCACACCAACGCCACAGAACCAUGUCGGACUCAGAGACUGCAGCUCCUGCCGAGACCCCUGUCCCAGCACCCUGUGUGGCCAUCAAGGCAGAUCUAGACAAAUGUGUAAAGGAGAAUGGUGAGGAAGCGUGUAAGGAGCUAAUGGAGGCAUUUGCUGCCUGUGUGAAGAGCAAUGCUGAAGCGUCAUGAGGAGCUCAACAUGCAGGAAAAGGUUUCACUGCACUGAGUCCUCCACCUUCCCAGAAUUCCCUGCAGCUCAUGGCACUGGACUAAACGAUGGGGUUUGGGGUUUGGCAGCAGAGACCAUAUUUGUGUCUCUUCCCUUCUCUACCCCCCUGUGAAGCUUAAAUAGAUUCCUCCAACCACCAACCUCUCCUCCCCUUUUGUGGCUGAUUGUAUUGAUCUGAUCUGUAGACAGUUUGAGAUUUGAUGUAAAUUAUGUGUCUCAGAUGCUUUCAAAAUGGAAUAAAGAUUUAAAAAAUGGUUCGAUAUUUGUUACUGAAUUUGUUUGACAAUGUUUGUUUU